CCACCCGUAGCUCAGUUGGUAGAGCGGUCGUCUUAUACACGAUUGGUCCCUGGUUCGAGUCCAGGCGGGUGGA
Molecule: transfer RNA, 73 nt
Filed under: Candidatus Lloydbacteria bacterium RIFCSPHIGHO2_01_FULL_49_22
Lineage: Bacteria; Candidatus Lloydiibacteriota
Also listed under: 2 other names
Description: tRNA-Ile
Rfam family: tRNA
About the family: Transfer RNA (tRNA) molecules are approximately 80 nucleotides in length.
Source: RNAcentral